AUUGAACGCUGGCGGCAGGCCUAACUCAUGCAAGUCGAACGGUAACAGGAAACAGCUUGCUGUUUCGCUGACGAGUGGCGGACGGGUGAGUAAUGUCUGGGAAACUGCCUGAUGGAGGGGGAUAACUACUGGAAACGGUAGCUAAUACCGCAUAACGUCGCAAGACCAAAGAGGGGGACCUUCGGGCCUCUUGCCAUCGGAUGUGCCCAGAUGGGAUUAGCUAGUAGGUGGGGUAACGGCUCACCUAGGCGACGAUCCCUAGCUGGUCUGGGGGGAUGACCAGCGACACUGGAACUGAGACACGGUCCAGACUCCUACGGGGGGCGGCAGUGGGGAAUAUUGCACAAUGGGCGCAAGCCUGAUGCAGCCAUGCGGCGUGUAUGAAGAAGGCCUUCGGGUUGUAAAGUACUUUCAGCGGGGAGGAAGGGAGUAAAGUUAAUACCUUUGCUCAUUGACGUUACCCGCAGAAGAAGCACCGGCUAACUCCGUGCCAGCCGCCGCCGUAA
Molecule: ribosomal RNA, 506 nt
Filed under: uncultured bacterium
Lineage: Bacteria
Description: partial 16S ribosomal RNA
Rfam family: Bacterial small subunit ribosomal RNA
Source: RNAcentral